AGUGAACGCUGGCGGUAGGCCUAACACAUGCAAGUCGAACGGCAGCACAGUAAGAGCUUGCUCUUACGGGUGGCGAGUGGCGGACGGGUGAGGAAUACAUCGGAAUCUACUUUUUCGUGGGGGAUAACGUAGGGAAACUUACGCUAAUACCGCAUACGACCUACGGGUGAAAGCAGGGGAUCUUCGGACCUUGCGCGAUUGAAUGAGCCGAUGUCGGAUUAGCUAGUUGGCGGGGUAAAGGCCCACCAAGGCGACGAUCCGUAGCUGGUCUGAGAGGAUGAUCGGCCACACUGGAACUGAGACACGGUCCAGACUCCUACGGGAGGCAGAAGUGGGGAAUAUUGGACAAUGGGCGCAAGCCUGAUCCAGCCAUACCGCGUGGGUGAAGAAGGCCUUCGGGUUGUAAAGCCCUUUUGUUGGGAAAGAAAAGCAGCAGGUUAAUACCCCGCUGUUCUGACGGUACCAAAAGAAUAAGCACCGGCUAACUUCGU
This 491-nucleotide ribosomal RNA is filed under the name uncultured bacterium. Its description in RNAcentral is "partial 16S ribosomal RNA". It matches the Rfam family "Bacterial small subunit ribosomal RNA", at positions 29 to 506 of the family's 1533-position model. The record is from RNAcentral.